This is a non-coding RNA of Pelobates cultripes (western spadefoot toad), 235 nucleotides long. Lineage: Eukaryota; Metazoa; Chordata; Amphibia; Anura; Pelobatidae. The record is from the annotation of a GenBank genome assembly.
CAUACCAUUUGCAAAAGUAGACAACCCAAGGUAUUGCAAGUGGGGUAUGUCCAGUCUUUCUUAGUAGCCACUUAGUAGUCACAAACACUGGCCAAAUAUUAGUUUUUUGCUUUUUUUCACACAAAAACAAAUAUGAAAGCUAACUGUGGCCAGUGUUUGUGACUAAGUGGCUAGUAAAAAAGACUAAACAUACCACUUGCAAUAUCUUGGGUUGCCUACUUUUUCAAAUGGUAUG